RNAcentral lists this ribosomal RNA (413 nucleotides) under uncultured bacterium. RNAcentral describes it as "bacterial SSU rRNA". It matches the Rfam family "Bacterial small subunit ribosomal RNA", at positions 28 to 436 of the family's 1533-position model. The record is from RNAcentral.
GACGAACGCUGGCGGCGCGCCUAACACAUGCAAGUCGAACGAGAGAGAAGGAGCUUGCUUCUUCGAUCGGGUGGCGAACGGGUGAGUACCGCGUGAGGAACCUGCCUCAAAGAGGGGGACAACAGUUGGAAACGACUGCUAAUACCGCAUAAGCCCACAGGUCGGCAUCGACCAGAGGGAAGAGGAGUAAUCCGCUUUGAGAUGGCCUCGCGUCCGAUUAGCUAGUUGGUGAGGUAAUGGCCCACCAAGGCGACGAUCGGUAGCCGGACUGAGAGGUUGAACGGCCACAUUGGGACUGAGACACGGCCCAGACUCCUACGGGAGGCAGCAGUGGGGAAUAUUGCACAAUGGGGGAAACCCUAAUGCAGCGACGCCGCGUGGAGGAAGAAGGUCUUCGGAUUGUAAACUCCUGU